RNAcentral lists this long non-coding RNA (854 nucleotides) under Calidris pugnax (ruff). Its description in RNAcentral is "lncRNA (ENSCPUG00000005903.1)". The record is from RNAcentral. Lineage: Eukaryota; Metazoa; Chordata; Aves; Charadriiformes; Scolopacidae.
CUUGAGCUGAACUUGUAAUGUUGUGACACAGUAACAGUAAGAGAUAGUUAAUAUAUAAUUGUGACAUACUAACUAUGUAUUUAUUGUUCUUUUGAUGAUCAGCUGUGAAUAGUUGUGGUCUGGAGAUCUGGGCUGUCAUCAGAAGCCACCAAGUCCCAUCAAGUUCUGCAACCAACUUACUUGAGCUAAUUGAAGAAACUGAGAGGAGAAGAGUUAACUCACGUCAAUUCUGGAUUUGCUCUGGGUGAUUUACCAGUCCCUAAGGGAGCCAGAGCCAGGAUCUGGAGCUGACACCUUUAUAUGGAGCAGGAGAUGCUUCGAGCAGCCAGCGUGUUUCUCUUUUAGCUUUCUUAUGGUCUGAAAAUACACUUGGGUAUAUUAAUAGGAACCUGUUAGAGCCCACAGUUUGACAUCCCGCUGAUGUGCAGCCCUUCCUGAGAAUCACUGCUUCCCAUUGAUUGCUCAGCACCAUGAGGCAGUUGCUUGAAAGAAUGAAUUGGUCUUAAUGUACAUAAGUUCUGUGAAUUUAGACAUACACAUUUAACUCCCUUGGAACAAGCAUCAGGACAAGAGUCUUUAUGUACUCUAGGUGGUCAGAGCACACUGUCUCAGUUAUUUGUGGUAUCUCAGGAGAUCUCUGUUGUACUCGCUGGAACCAAGUGUGGAAAGGAGGCAAAAAGCCAAGUGGCAGGAUAUCUGCUGAGAAAGCUGAGAAGAUGAGUGUCUCGCAGGAGAAAAUGGAAGACAGCAGAUCUCACAUGACAUCCAAAGAAUACAAGCUACAAAAGGAUCAGCAUCUCGUAGAGAAUUCUAAGAUGUUACAAGACAUUACAAGAGGCAGCUUCCUUAGUUAG